UAAAAAAGCAAACAAGAUAUGACAUUCCCUGAAUUCAGGGAUGUUUUCUGAUAUGUUCUCAUCUCUAUUUCUAGCUCGUAGCUUCGAAAUGUCUCUGACUGCAUCUCGGCUGCUUCCCUUCACCCCUGAUCUCCUCACACUCAUCCACCUAGAUCCUGAAACUGGAGGGACCUGCACUACUUCGUAGUCUGUUUGUUCUGCUUAUCCGGGUGAAGAUGGAACUGGACAAAAGAAUACCUAGGGGUGGACCACUUGGUGCCACACUUCUUCUUCUGUGUCUCCAUCAUAUAGCAAUGGCUGUGACUCAUCCCGAUGAUUGGGAUCAAUUACGCCUGCAACAGUGCCCUUUUUUGUUUCUUCAUCCACUGGUCUACAGACUUGCAGAGCCCAGGAUGAACUAAUAGCAACCAUGGCUUUACAUUUAGUGAGAAUUAGGUGGAACACAGGCCUUCAAGAAGAGUCUUCCCACAAAGAAGAAGAACAUCUAGACACACAGAGCCUAAAUAUUCAUGCAGAACUUCACCAGCACAAACACCCUGCUGGAAUUGGUGGCAAAGACUAUUCUGCACAGUUUUUGUCUUGAGAAAAUUGAGGUUGCAUAGAAUAUGGCAAACUGGACAAGUGCUUCACUGAUUGUUGCAAAAAAGAUAUGUUAACUAUUCUGCAAGUAUAUACUUUAUAUAUAUGAUUUCAGUAUGAUCAGUUACUCAAAUUCUCAUUAUUUUUGUUUACUUGAUUUUUGAAAGAGCACUGUGUAAAAGGCCCUCCUAAUACAUAUUUCUGUCAAUUUCUCCUUUUAUGUAUGAUACAUUUUUAAAAUAUAUAUAUAAAUUGCUACAUACACUCAUGAA
Molecule: long non-coding RNA, 851 nt
Organism: Homo sapiens (human)
Lineage: Eukaryota; Metazoa; Chordata; Mammalia; Primates; Hominidae
Exons: 3
Source: RefSeq, a predicted model, not a curated record